CAAAUCGUGAUAUCCGCACGCGUGCACCGUGCUGUUGUUCCGGUGUGCAGCUGGUGUAAUCGCGGUUUCAAAUCCUCAUCCGAUGUCUGGCAUAACAUAUAAUAACAGCUAUGAUACAAAUCACUAGCUAGUUUUCUAGUUCUGGGUCGUGGAAUAGGCGGUACAUUCAAAAGUGAAUCUUGGUCUAGAGAUUCGAUUCGGACAAGUCACGCGAAGUGUAAACAUGCUUCCGCCGGCCAAGUGGAGUGCAAUCUUAUUCUUGCAAUCGUUUCCUUUUGGAGAACAAGAGGCAAUGUAGUUUGUCCAAUUCUCAUACGGGAGAAUCUGCUUGGAAAUGUAACGUGGGAAUGAAAAGUGAUUUGGUAAUUAUAGUUUAACGAAUUUUAUAAAUAUUUGAAGCUUAAAAACAACUACAUUUUUAUUUUUAUUUUUAAGAGGAAAAUAUUUGGGAAACACGAGUCAAUAUUGAGGAUUAUUGUUGUGUAAAUAUAAGAAAAUAUUGAGGAUUAUUGUUAUAUAAAUAUUGCCAAUCCAUCGAUUAAAAACUCAUACUAUUAUAAUAAUACAUUCAUGAAUCACCUUCGCCAACAAGAUUAAUUUAUUCUACGAAUUUUUAAACAUUAUUCACAAUUUUCAAAAAUGCAGCUUUCAACUCAGCAAUCGAAUGCUAAUUUAUCUAGAAAUUUUUAUACGCGCCGAUGUUAGCGUGGAUCAUCGAAAAGAAAAUUCGAUGGACGAAUCUUCGUUCUCUGGUCUGCCAAUCAGUUUAUAUUAAAUUUACGUAACACCAUGAAUAUUAAAACCGACAAACAUUCGUUCUUGCGAAGAAACAUCUUCGAUCAUGAACCAUAAAUCACCGUUGGAACAACUCAAAGUAGAUAUAAAUGUUCACUAUCCUCGAUCAUCUUCAUAUAUUCAGGUACUUUCUCCAUAUAUACGUACAAUUUUUUUCUUUUUUUUUUAAUUAAUCCCAACAUAAUUCAAUCAAUCGUAGAAAAUUAA
Apis dorsata (giant honeybee) is the source of this 1002-nucleotide long non-coding RNA. RefSeq lists it as uncharacterized. NCBI's taxonomy places the organism in Eukaryota, Metazoa, Arthropoda, Insecta, Hymenoptera, Apidae. The record is from RefSeq and is a predicted model, not a curated record. The transcript is spliced from 2 exons.